Molecule: ribosomal RNA, 548 nt
Filed under: uncultured bacterium
Lineage: Bacteria
Description: bacterial SSU rRNA
Rfam family: Bacterial small subunit ribosomal RNA
Source: RNAcentral
UGCGGGAAUAUUGCGCAAUGGGGGGAACCCUGACGCAGCCAUGCCGCGUGAAUGAAGAAGGCCUUAGGGUUGUAAAGUUCUUUCGGUAUUGAGGAAGGUUGAUGUGUUAAUAGCACAUCAAAUUGACGUUAAAUACAGAAGAAGCACCGGCUAACUCCGUGCCAGCAGCCGCGGUAAUACGGAGGGUGCGAGCGUUAAUCGGAAUAACUGGGCGUAAAGGGCACGCAGGCGGUUAUUUAAGUGAGGUGUGAAAGCCCUGGGCUUAACCUAGGAAUUGCAUUUCAGACUGGGUAGCUAGAGUACUUUAGGGAGGGGUAGAAUUCCACGUGUAGCGGUGAAAUGCGUAGAGAUGUGGAGGAAUACCGAAGGCGAAGGCAGCCCCUUGGGAAUGUACUGACGCUCAUGUGCGAAAGCGUGGGGAGCAAACAGGAUUAGAUACCCUGGUAGUCCACGCUGUAAACGCUGUCGAUUUGGGGGUUGGGGUUUAACUCUGGCGCCCGUAGCUAACGUGAUAAAUCGACCGCCUGGGGAGUACGGCCGCAAGGUUA